GCCUGGGUGGCUCAGUAGAUUGAGCAGCUGACUUGGGCUCAGGUCAUGAUCUCAUGGUUCGUGGGUUCGAGCCUCACGUCAGGCU
RNAcentral lists this transfer RNA (85 nucleotides) under Felis catus (domestic cat). It matches the Rfam family "tRNA". From Rfam's summary of the family: Transfer RNA (tRNA) molecules are approximately 80 nucleotides in length. Lineage: Eukaryota; Metazoa; Chordata; Mammalia; Carnivora; Felidae. The record is from Rfam by way of RNAcentral.